GACGAACGCUGGCGGCGUGCUUAACACAUGCAAGUCGAGCGGUAAGGCCCUUUCGGGGGUACACGAGCGGCGAACGGGUGAGUAACACGUGGGUGACCUGCCCUCAGCUCUGGGAUAAGCCUGGGAAACUGGGUCUAAUACUGGAUAUGACUCCACGGUGCAUGUCGUGGGGUGGAAAGCCUUGUGCGGCUGAGGAUGGGCCCGCGGCCUAUCAGCUUGUUGGUGGGGNGAUGGCCUACCAAGGCGACGACGGGUAGCCGGCCUGAGAGGGCGACCGGCCACACUGGGGCUGAGACACGGCCCAGACUCCUACGGGAGGCAGCAGUGGGGAAUCUUGCGCAAUGGGCGAAAGCCUGACGCAGCGACGCCGCGUGAGGGAUGA
This 382-nucleotide ribosomal RNA is filed under the name uncultured bacterium. RNAcentral's name for it is "bacterial SSU rRNA". It matches the Rfam family "Bacterial small subunit ribosomal RNA", at positions 28 to 411 of the family's 1533-position model. The record is from RNAcentral.